AACGUAGGACGCAAGCGUUAUCCGGAAUUACUGGGCGUAAAGCGCGUGUAGGUGGUUAGAUGAGUCACUGUUGAAAGCUCCCGGCUAAACUGGGAGAGGUGCGGUGAGACUGUCUGGCUAGAGUAUGGGAGAGGGAUGCAGAAUUCCGGGUGUAGUGGUGAAAUGCGUAGAGAUCCGGAGGAAUACCAGAGGCGAAGGCGGCAUCCUGGCCUAAAACUGACACUGAGACGCGAAAGCAUGGGGAGCGAACGGG
RNAcentral lists this ribosomal RNA (253 nucleotides) under uncultured bacterium. RNAcentral's name for it is "partial 16S ribosomal RNA". It matches the Rfam family "Bacterial small subunit ribosomal RNA", at positions 524 to 776 of the family's 1533-position model. The record is from RNAcentral.